GACGAUUUCAUAUCGAUCAGUCGUAUAUCUUCGGGAAUUGGCCCGAAGGUCUCUACGGGGAGCCUUAACUUCCCAGCUACGACCGGGUUCUUUUGCGGU
RNAcentral lists this non-coding RNA (99 nucleotides) under Paenibacillus mucilaginosus. Its description in RNAcentral is "Guanine sequence". It matches the Rfam family "Purine riboswitch aptamer". From Rfam's summary of the family: Riboswitches are metabolite binding domains within certain messenger RNAs that serve as precision sensors for their corresponding targets. Allosteric rearrangement of mRNA structure is mediated by ligand binding, and this results in modulation of gene expression. A class of riboswitches that selectively recognises guanine and becomes saturated at concentrations as low as 5 nM. RNAcentral also lists the same sequence under 1 other name. Lineage: Bacteria; Bacillati; Bacillota; Bacilli; Caryophanales; Paenibacillaceae. The record is from RNAcentral.